GAUGAACGCUAGCUACAGGCUUAACACAUGCAAGUCGAGGGGCAGCACAGUGUAGCAAUACAUGGGUGGCGACCGGCGCACGGGUGCGUAACGCGUAUCCAACCUUCCCGUUACUCUUGGAUAGCCUUCCGAAAGGGAGAUUAAUACAAGAUGGUAUUCAAAUUCCGCAUGUUAUUUGAAUUAAAGAUUUAUCGGUAACGGAUGGGGAUGCGUGACAUUAGAUAGUAGGCGGGGUAACGGCCCACCUAGUCUACGAUGUCUAGGGGUUCUGAGAGGAAGGUCCCCCACACUGGCACUGAGACACGGGCCAGACUCCUACGGGAGGCAGCAGUGAGGAAUAUUGGUCAAUGGGCGGAAGCCUGAACCAGCCAAGUAGCGUGCAGGAUGACGGCCCUACGGGUUGUAAACUGCUUUUGUAUGAGGGUAAAAUUAGAUACGUGUAUCUAACUGCAAGUAUCAUACGAAUAAGGAUCGGCUAACUCCGUGCCAGCAGCCG
RNAcentral lists this ribosomal RNA (496 nucleotides) under uncultured bacterium. RNAcentral's name for it is "bacterial SSU rRNA". It matches the Rfam family "Bacterial small subunit ribosomal RNA", at positions 28 to 517 of the family's 1533-position model. The record is from RNAcentral.